ACCAACUCUGCUUUCCUGGCGGCGGCACUAUUCGAGAGCUCCAAGAACUCCAACAAGAACUUCCUCCAACAACUCCCAAGUUUUCAAUCUUAUUCCCUGCGAGGAGAUGGCCAUCAACUUCAUCGUCCCAUACUUUUAUUGUACCCCUGUUCAUCCACAAUCUAUCUUACCGAAUCCCUUUUCUUUUUGUUCUUCUUUUCAAAAAUUUCUAGGAUUUGGCCG
RNAcentral lists this long non-coding RNA (222 nucleotides) under Sorghum bicolor (sorghum). Its description in RNAcentral is "long non-coding RNA (SBIC_LNC004871)". Lineage: Eukaryota; Viridiplantae; Streptophyta; Magnoliopsida; Poales; Poaceae. The record is from RNAcentral.